AAACCACAGGGUGAGGCGGAGAGGGGGAGAGUGCUCCACUCCACCCUCUAUUUAAACCUUCACAAACUGUCUUCUCUUGCUGAAUGAGCUCAUCUUUAAAUCCAGGUGCUAGCUUCAAGGACUCUGCUGUAACUUUUGAAAGAUCAUCCUGCUCUCUAACAAUGAGCUGCCCUAAAGAACUAACAGGCCUGGAAAUAGCAGUAGCUCAAAUGUUUGGGGUCUUCAUGGCAAAUGAAGAUGAAAAUUGAAAGCUGAGUAAAGAAGCCUUCCUAAAACUCUUGAAGGAUGAACUGCCAUCAUUUGAUCAGAAAAACAAUGGAGACGAGUUAUUCAAAGGUGUGGACCUGAAUGAUGAUGGAGCUGUGGACUUCGAAGAGUUUGCCAUGAUGGUUGCCAUGUUUGCCAGUGCAAGCCAUGACGCCCUCAUAAAGGCCCUCAAAGCCAUCAAAGAGAAAAACCAGUAACAAUAAAUGUGUAAAAAUGAUGCAAAAUCAUCUGACUUCCUUGAUUUCACAUAAAACCAUGUCUUUUUAUAGUAUAGUUAUAGUUUUCUUAAUCUUUAGAGCAAAUAAUCCUCAAAUUAAAUAACUGCCACUGCAUUUAGUUGAUUGAAGGGAAAUGUGUUCAAAACAGCAAGACCUAAAUGAAGUACUGUGUUAUAAAGGGACAACUCAGCCACCUGCUGUUGGAAUCCUGCAUCCAUCCUGACUUGUAAUAGCAAAGGAUCUAACAUAUCUCUAUAGACUUUUACUUAAGCCUUUAAAGAAUAUGUUGACAAAUUAAUAAUUAUCUGUAAGAAAGUAAGAAGCUUAUGUCCUGGUUAAGAGAUAAUGACCUACUUAAGAUGAUUAUAUAUUCGUGUUAAAGUCAGCAGAAGGAAAAAUACAAGAUAUCUACUAAUUUCAUUGUAACACAAAUGUAAAUUAAUUUGUCCCAAUAGCAAAAGACCAGAAGAAAAAGAAAUAAAACAUGUUUUUACUGCAUUUGCUUUUUAUCUUCAGGUGUACAAGGAAACAGGUUAAACUGGUAAACUGGUAUGAAGGUGAAUAAACAGGUCUGUAGGAUGUAGU
This is a long non-coding RNA of Melanotaenia boesemani (Boeseman's rainbowfish), 1070 nucleotides long. RefSeq lists it as uncharacterized. NCBI's taxonomy places the organism in Eukaryota, Metazoa, Chordata, Actinopteri, Atheriniformes, Melanotaeniidae. The transcript has 4 exons. The record is from RefSeq and is a predicted model, not a curated record.